GUAGUCCACGCCCUAAACGAUGCGAACUGGAUGUUGGGUGCAACUAGGCACUCAGUAUCGAAGCUAACGCGUUAAGUUCGCCGCCUGGGGAGUACGGUCGCAAGACUGAAACUCAAAGGAAUUGACGGGGGCCCGCACAAGCGGUGGAGUAUGUGGUUUAAUUCGAUGCAACGCGAAGAACCUUACCUGGCCUUGACAUGCACGGAACUUUCCAGAGAUGGAUUGGUGCCUUCGGGAACCGUGACACAGGUGCUGCAUGGCUGUCGUCAGCUCGUGUCGUGAGAUGUUGGGUUAAGUCCCGCAACGAGCGCAACCCUUGUCCUUAGUUGCCAGCACGUAAUGGUGGGAAC
This 350-nucleotide ribosomal RNA is filed under the name uncultured Lysobacteraceae bacterium. RNAcentral describes it as "bacterial SSU rRNA". It matches the Rfam family "Bacterial small subunit ribosomal RNA", at positions 790 to 1138 of the family's 1533-position model. The record is from RNAcentral. Lineage: Bacteria; Pseudomonadati; Pseudomonadota; Gammaproteobacteria; Lysobacterales; Lysobacteraceae.